RNAcentral lists this ribosomal RNA (754 nucleotides) under Cylindrospermopsis raciborskii S01. RNAcentral's name for it is "bacterial LSU rRNA". It matches the Rfam family "Bacterial large subunit ribosomal RNA", at positions 697 to 1459 of the family's 2925-position model. Lineage: Bacteria; Bacillati; Cyanobacteriota; Cyanophyceae; Nostocales; Aphanizomenonaceae. The record is from RNAcentral. RNAcentral also lists the same sequence under 7 other names.
UAAUCAGUAUUUAUAGACCCGAACCCUGGUGAUCUAACCAUGGCCAGGAUGAAGCUUGGGUAAAACCAAGUGGAGGUCCGAACCGACCGAUGUUGAAAAAUCGGCGGAUGAGCGGUGGUUAGGGGUGAAAUGCCAAUCGAACCAGGAGCUAGCUGGUUCUCCCCGAAAUGUGUUGAGGCGCAGCGGUAAUGAAAAAAUUGGGGGGUAAAGCACUGUUUCGGUGCGGGCUGGGAGACCGGUACCAAAUCGAGGCAAACUAAGAAUACCCAAGGAUCACAUUGCCAGUGAGACGGUGGGGGAUAAGCUUCAUCGUCAAGAGGGAAACAGCCCAGACCACCAGCUAAGGUCCCCAAAUCAUCACUAAGUGAAAAAGGAGGUGGGGUUGCAAAGACAACUAGGAGGUUUGCCUAGAAGCAGCCACCCUUGAAAGAGUGCGUAAUAGCUCACUAGUCAAGCGAUCCUGCGCCGAAAAUGAAAGGGGCUAAGUGAUGUACCGAAGCUGUGGGAUUAGAAAUAAUCGGUAGGGGAGCGUUCCGUAGUAGUGAGAAGCAGUAGCGGCAAGCAGCUGUGGACGAGACGGAAGUGAGAAUGUCGGCUUGAGUAGCGCAAACAUUGGUGAGAAUCCAAUGCCCCGAAACCCUAAGGGUUCCAGAGGCAGGUUCGUCCACUCUGGGUUAGUCGGGACCUAAGGCGAGGUCGAAAGGCGUAGUCGAUGGAGACCGGGUCAACAAUCCCGGACUACAAUAUGGGAGCA